CACGUAGGGGGCAAGCGUUGUCCGGAAUUAUUGGGCGUAAAGAGCUCGUAGGCGGCUCGGUAAGUCAGGUGUCAAAUCCUCAGGCUCAACCUGGGGCUCCACCUGAUACUGCUGUGGCUAGAGUCCGGUAGGGGAGCGUGGAAUUCCUGGUGUAGCGGUGAAAUGCGCAGAUAUCAGGAAGAACACCCGUGGCGAAGGCGGCUCUCUGGGACGGUACUGACGCUGAGACGCGAAAGCGUGGGGAGCGAACAGG
This 253-nucleotide ribosomal RNA is filed under the name uncultured bacterium. RNAcentral's name for it is "partial 16S ribosomal RNA". It matches the Rfam family "Bacterial small subunit ribosomal RNA", at positions 524 to 776 of the family's 1533-position model. The record is from RNAcentral.